UCGUCUAGGUGUAGUUGGAUAAUAAAAUAUAAGACUUUGUAAUCACAUGAUGUGAACUGCGCGACCAGUUUACGUUAACAUGAAGAAGUAAUUAUUUUGGGCCGGUCUGCCUCGCAAUCGAACCAGAAUUUGUUACUGCAAGUUCCGAAGCGGCUAUCUGCGUGCUAAGGAAAUUGCUGACGCUUUUGUAUCCUGAGAUAUACUUGUUUGACUGGCCAGUCAAAGCUGCAAGCUGACACUUAGAAACUACAUGAGGUUGUCUCUGUCUCUUAAAUCGCAAGUUUUUAAUGAUCAAGAAGCUACGAUGGAAACCUAAAUCGUCGCGUACAGCUUAAAACUAACCCAGAGACUGGAAGAUGACUGCAUCCAUCGAAGCAAUAACAUACCCAGCGGUGGACAAUGAGCUUGGCAAAACAAGCCUCACAGAUAACAUUGUCAGCGAGCUAAGACGUCUCCGAAGUCAAGUUGGAGGACUCGUCUCAUCGUUAACAAAAGCAAAUAACAGUCAAAGUAAGUGUAUCCAGAAGACUAAGGAAACCUCCCAACACGUUAAGGCACAAAGAAGCACCAAAGCUAUCCGGAAGAAUGAGAAAAGCCAACCACAUUUGGCCUGCUCUGCAUUAGCUACAGUCGACCGAUUAACCCCUGAAAAGAUGAUUCCUUCACAAGUCUUGGACCAUGUUGCUCGAAUACUCGACGAAGCCAUUAUUUGCCAUCAGGGUGACGAUAUCGUUGGUGCCAGAAAAAGUAUAACAAAUCUUUUUACAAUGAUGGUGAUGAAUCAGGCGCAAUGCUUUGAAUUUCCCUCUAAGUAUGGCUUGAACGUUCUAGAUCGUGGAAGAAAACUUUUUCUGGAGGAGGGUGUGAGUUGUUCGAUAAAACACGGAACUUUACUUUUAGAUUCAAGUUUGAAUGGAGCGCAGUUUUACUCUGGGUUACUAAACGUCAUGGGGGCAUUUGCCUUGCUGAUUUCUGAAUUUAAAAUUGCGAAAGGAACUUUUGACCGGCUUAUCGAUCUGCAUCACCAAUCAAAUAUUACUAGUCGUUUACGUGACCUUGCUGCUGCCUACAACAAUAAGGGGUGUAUACACCUGAUCGUUGGCGAUUUGCGAGAGGCAGAAGAAGCGUUCGAAACUUCUCUUAAGUACCUUGGCAAUUCGAACGGGCCGUCAAAUGUUACAAAAGUUUUUGCUGUAAAGAGCAACAUGAGCCGGCUAAAUCUGGUUUUUAGAAAGUAUCGUCAAGCCCUCGAACAACAAGAAAAAUUAGCAGAGAGUUGCAAAGCUACAGAAAUGAAGGAAAUACCACAUCCAUUCGAAGCAGUAUUCACGGUGAUGAAUAAUCAAGCGGUAUUGCAUACUACUCUCGGCAAUUUUGACCGGGCGGAACAAGCGUUGUGGUGGCUGAUAUCUUAUUGCAAAGAAAUAAAUAGAAAAGACUCUGAAUAUCUUGUAACUUUCCUUCGUUUGCAUCUUUCUGAAGUUCUGAUCCUUCACGGAAAAUCAAAAGUGGCUGAUGAAAUGUUCAGUAUUGAGAACUUGAAUUCACUGGAGGACAUUGUGAAGAGGUUUGGAAACCUUUACAUGAAUGUAAGAAUCGAGGCACUUGAGAAGUUAUUAGAGCUCUACAUCCGUAGAGGAAAAAUCCGAGCUGCCCUUCAGCUUUUGCAAAUAACUGUAAAGAUCCUAAAAACUGUGUUCGGACCUGACCAUUAUAAUAUUGCUUCCCUGUUGUACAAACAAGGUACAAUUUUGAGCUUCACAGGAGAAGUUUCUCAAGCCGCGGAAAAAUUCAAAAUUUCGAUCGAAAUCCUGCGGAAAAUAUUUGGUGUUAAGAAUUUUCUUCUUCUCAAGUGCUACAUGUCUCUUGGUGAUGUGACAUCGAGAAUCAAUCAAGAAGGAGAGUCUUACCUUUACUUUCAAAGAGCCACUGAGAACAUAGAAGCCAUCUACCAAGUGUCAUUUGUGGAUGAGUUGAGAAUAAAGUACCUGGAAAUCACAGGAAGUUUCAAAACCUUGCAAAACCGGAAAGCGUCUGAUGAUAGAAUUGAAGGUCUUGUUGCAGAGUAUGGGCAAGGAAUAGCCUUCUGGUUAAACCACCACAGCAACUGUCAAUUAAGAAAGUGCAGAGCCAAUAGGAAACGUUUCCCUGUGAAGAACACGGAAGGUCCCCCUUCUGAGUCGACGUCGAUAGCCUUUUUCAAAUAUUCAUCCGAUUUCAUCAAGAGUGGACAAAAGCUCCUCCGUCUUGGAAUGAUUGAUGAAGCUUCCGUCUUUUUUCAAUGCGCAGAGUUGCAUUCCAGAGUACAUGCAAUCCAAGGUUAUCCAGACUUGAGUGUCGCCUACCUAAACAGCGUAUUCCUGAUGAAAAAGUUUAGAAGUCACCGAACACUGCAGCAUGGCCAUCGUUUGAGGAAGCUUUUGGGAGACCUACGCAGCGUCAUAGAAGAAAGUGGUGCUCAAAGUCCUGUCCAAAGGACCAAUGGGGUUGCGACAACGAAGGAGUCUGACUAUCAGCGAAACUUGAGGCCUGUGUUAAUUUUACUUCUUUUGUUCUCAAUAGAGCUGAAAAUGACUGAAACCACCUUUGUAGCGUACGACUUAUACUCUAAACUUUUUCAACACAAGAUCGAUUUUCCAUUUUUGCUCCUCGAUGGAAUUCAAGUUUAUGCCUCAAGAGCGACGAUCACCUGCAAUGGACAGACUGCUGUUCAAGACAUCUUGAUUUCCUCUGAAGUUGGUCUGAAUGAAAGUGACACCGACAGAGCGUCUACUGACACGAAGUUAUACCGCAGCUUGGCUUACCAGGAGAAUGCAACUGGAAAUGCUUUCUUAGUGACUGGCAGAUUACCGGUCCUUCUAGACAUCGAGGACCUUAAUACCGUGAAGGACAAAAUCUCAUUGGCAGUUCAAGAGUGUUUUCAAACGAAGUGCAUGGCAGCUGAAGCUAAAGGCGGCGCGAUGACGGUUGUCGUGGAUUUGACUCCAACGGAAAAAUGUGACCUGCAAGACAUCUUUUCUAUGGGAAGUAGAAUCGAUCUCUUACCUCUUUGUCUAUCAGAACAUCCAAGUGAUGGCAUACGGAAUAAAGAGACGUCGACUAUCUUUGAGAUGGACACAUCGAUGUAUCAGAGGAUUGUAGAGGUGACCUUUGAAGAUGAGCAAUCAAGCUCUUUCAUCUUCAAAAAUACUGCAUUGAGACUUCUUCAGCAGAAUGACGCAGGAGGUAUAUCAUCAUUGGCGCUAGCAAGUCACAGCCUUUCAAUAACGGUUCUCCAACCACGAAAAACACGGAUCAUUUUGUCACAAAGUGGAAGACAGGUCAUAGAAAAGACACAGUUCGUAUCGACAAGAAAAACAAUAAACGGAUUGGCAGCCUCGAAUGGUACGUUUGAGACUUCUGUUCUUGAUGUGCUCCCUUUGCCUGAAAUUCAUCAGGCAAUUGAAAAGUAUGGAGUGCCGUGUCUACAAAGAACUUUAUCGAAAAUUUAUUGGGAACAAUCAUCCACACCCUGUGAAACCAACAGCACCUCGAAUCACGGAAGGACAGGAGCUGAGAGGUCGUCUCGAAAAACUGGUGGCCCUUCUGAAUUCAAAGACAAGCAAAGACAAACAAGAGAGAGUGUUCUAGAGUGCCUUAGGACUGUCAGCCAGAUAUCACGACUGCUUUACAGCGUGGAAAGUCCCUUUACUCAUGUUGAAAUCUGUCUGGUGGAUACAAAUCAAUGUCAUAAUGCUCAUAAGAGUCUAGAAGAUCAGAAAUACAUUUCCAGGGAGGAAAAAGUAAGGUUGGUGGAUUUGAGUGACGAUGACACAGGACGUCUAGCUGCUUCAUUUCAAAAUCAGGAAGACCGUGAAAACACUUCCCGUACCCUUCAGUAUCUGACUGAGAGUUCAGAAGGAAAUGAAAAUAAUGAAUGUAUUACACAGAACGUUCCUGAUAUUACCACUGUUAAGGCAAGCACAACCAACCACGAGGAAGAAUCCAUUCUCAGAGAAGACGAGAUAUCAGAGGGGAAACGUCUAUUUGAAGACGAUAGAAAGUCAAGACUUUCUUCCAUAGCUGACCUGAAAGAAAUCCUGAGAAAAAAGCAACUGAAGCCUAAAAGAGGUGAUUCAAUUCACUCCAACAAGGCAGACGCAAAUGAUGUUGCAAAGUUGCAGUCAAACCAUAUGCAAAAUGGUAGCAACUGUGGUAAUAGAGAGGCUCUGUAUCAAAACCCAGAGGCCCAGGCACUAAGCCAAAAACGCACUUCUAGGAAUGUCAUUUCUCAUAAAAGUGGCCUCAGAACUAGUUCACUUGAAAGCAAGACAGCUAGGGAAGAAGACAAUCUCUUGAGAAUGCAUCUUUCACCCCAAUAUCCAGCCCCUAACAACGUAAGAGAGCGAAAUUAUUUAGAAACUCAACCUAAAUGUGAGCUUGCAGAGGACGAAAGCAGCCGCCUGCCUAAAAUAAUGCGGGAAAAAGAGGCCACUUUCGCAGCCUCCGAUAAAUGCGACGCCUCUGGCCUUUUGGAAAGAAAGGCGUACGCUAAAAACGUAGAGACAGGGGCAAAUGGUGAUCAUUGUAGUACAAAUAACGCCAUUAAAAUCAACAGGGAGACCCCCUUACAUAACCAAGACGUACAGGACACCAUAGGAGUUGAUCAAGAAGGGCAAAGGCAAACGAAGCCCGGCGUCGAUAAAUUUAAGAGUAGAAAACACCACAGUGUGGAAAGAAGUGAACGAAAUGACGUGGACGUUACGGGAAAUAGAACCAAUAUUCAGGAAAAGCAAGAAACUCCUUGUCCUGAUUAUGACGACAAGGCGACAUGGAAAACAUUUGGGUUACCUGCUGGAGAAGUUUUAGCAGAUGGAUCCAUGAACAUAGAUACCAGUAGAAGCCAAAAUAAUAUGGUGGAUCUUUUAAAAGAGACGCAUACUGGGGAUGGGACAAACCUAGAAGAGGAUAAUGGUAUGCACUCCAUGCAAAAAAGAGAACCAACCAAACACUCCAAGUCAAAAGCCACCAUCUCAAACUGCAAGGAAAUCACCACCACAUUCAUGUUUCAAGGGGGUGAUGUUGUUGCUGACGGCGAAGUCCACAAGAACCUUGGUGGUGAUGGAUCAGUACUCGCACAAAACUCUGACAAGGACAACCAUGUCUUUCUGUUUAUACCUAACCACGGGGAAGAAGAUGCUAUAGGAGUUGAUCGAGAGGGUCAAAGACAAACGAAGCUUAAUGUAAGUACAUUUAAAAUUAAAAAACGAGAACUUGAAGGUAGGGAACGAAGCGGGCUGGAAAUCAUAAGGAGUAAAACCAAUACAUCAGAAAGUCAAGGCACGUCUUGUUGCGAUCAUAACGAUAUGGCAACAGAGAGAACAUCUGGUCCACUAGGAGAAGAAGCUUUGUCGGAUGGAUCCAUGAACCGGGAAACCGCAAGAAGUCAAAAUGACGUGGUAGCUCUCCUAACAGAGACAGAUUUCGUGAACGGGCCCAAAUUAAAAGAGGAAAUUGGGACGCAAUCUUUGAACCAAGGCUCUAGAGCAUUAAAGCCAAUAAGUUCAUACGGUCAGAUAUAUUUUAAGUCACAAGCCACAACCUCAAACCGCCAUGAAACUAGUACUAGAUUAUUGUGUCAAGGGAGCGAUGUUGUUGCUGACGGCGAAAGCAAUGAAGAUGAUCUGAAUAACGUUGACAUUGCAGAUGGACCAGCACUCACACAAAAUCCGUACAAGGCAUUUAAUGCCGGCGAGAGGUUCACAGCCAACAUGAAGCACAAAAGUGUACCCUCAUGUAGCGAAAACGAGUCACAUACAGAUACAGAUGCGCUCUGCAAACACAGAUAUCCUCUUAAUAGCGAGACUGACCUCUUUCAAUCUCACUCGGGUGACGGAGGAGCAAGGCCCAAACAAAGAUCAACAGAUAACGCCAAAUGCCCCUUACCAUGGCCCGGCGGUACAAAUCCAAUUUCAGCUGACUGUGACUUCAAAAUAGAAAAUCGGGGCCUAGAUCCUGUUUUUAUGGCGCGCCACGUCAAAGAGAGUAGUCCAUUUCCUUCGUUUUAUAACGGGGGAAACUAUAAUCAUGCUUCAUUAGACGGUCCGUGGCAGGAAGAUUACGAACAGGAGUAUUCUUCAUCUAAUGCUCAUGACCAAGUCUUUAAAGGCAAAGGUCAGAUCUCACCCGAGAAGAAAAAGUUCAUUCCACACGAUAUAGUCCAUAAAUCAAAUAUGUGUGUUCCUGUAUAUAACGCAUCAGUAAACAAAAACUUUAGUUUUUAUCAUGUAACGCAACCAAACGGAAAUGAAAAAGAAAGCUGGCAUUUUCCAUCCUCAGAGUCGUGGGAAGACAGGGUGCUGCGAAGCCAAUGCUUUGCCGAGAGGACAAACAAGUCAAAUCGAACAUCGCUGCCAAAAUCUUUUGAUGCUGACCGUGAGAAACUCUUCAAUACGUGUGGAUCAGUAUGUGCUUACAACGACAUGGAUUCAAUGGCUAAUGAAUACUUCAGCAGUAUAGCUAAGGAUGAAUGUGCACAGUCACUACCAUUGAGUGAGAACGAGCAUUCAUCGACAGAACAUUCGCUGGCCUCUAGUUUUAGAUGUCUUCAAGAUAUAAUGGCCAAGACUAUUCGGCUUGUUGUCUCAAAUGCUACGGGCGCGGGGAAAACUCAACCCGCAAACCAGGCGGUCGAAAAGACAGGCGUACAGGAAGAAACGGGCGAUACGGGAGAAGGGGAACCAGCCUUAACACAACAAGUUAACGAGACGAACACUCAAGUAGAAUCUACCCCAUCAAAUAAAACGACAAUAGAAGCCAAGCGACAACCUGUCGCAACACCUGUACAAGAGAGUCCACGCCCUGUUUGCAGUCAUUAUCAACGCCGAUGCUUGGUUCGGUUUCCCUGCUGUGGAAAGUUCUUCCCAUGCCACCGCUGUCACAACGAGUCAGAUUGUAGUGAGGAUCAGGCGAGAGCAAUUAAUGCCACACACAUACGGUGCACUAUCUGCUAUCACGAGCAAGAGAUCGAUGAAAAUGGUCAGAGAUGUGGCGGCUGCAAUGCAAUCAUGUCUGAAUAUUUCUGCCCAACAUGUCGCCAUUAUACUUCCGUGGAUAAAAAUCCCUUCCACUGCGAAAAAUGCGGUAUCUGUAGAAUCCAUAGAGACAGAUCCUUCCACUGUAAUGUUUGUAAUGUAUGCCUGGACAAACGUCUUGAAGGAAAACAUAAAUGCAGACCUGAUUCUGGACACGAUGAAUGUUGUAUAUGUCUGGAGGACGCCUUCAGUGGUUGUCAAAUUCUCCCAUGCUCUCACAAGGUUCACAAAGAUUGUGCAAUUGCAAUGAUACAAAAUGGCGUCCGAAAGUGCCCAAUAUGCCGACAUCCCUUGUUCGGUCAACUUCAAACUAGUUCUCAAAAUUAACUCAAACAACUGCAAAAUUUCAAUAUGAUGCUAAUUUUACCUCUCACUUUUGCAGAAACAUUUUACUCUUAAUCAAUUUGUGACUGGCUUUUCUUACUAGCUCGUCCAAACCCAGAAAAUCCCACUGUAUUAGCUACGGGUGAAAUUCUGUUAUAACUACAGUCGCGACCAUUUUAACUCUCUGUUUUUCUUUUUUGUGUUUUGUUUUCAAAUUUAAUGGCUGUUAACAACUUCACCUGUCAGCACCGGAAAGACAUGAUUUUUUAACUUAGAAAUUAAGGUAUUUUAGGAUAUGAGAAAAACUGAGAAAAAUUGGAGUAGAAACCAACAAAAAACAUAGGCAAACUCAAAAGUGAAACUUAAUACGCGCACACAAAAAAAGAAAAAGAAAGGCAACCAGUCAAGCCACUAAACAAAUGAAAGUGACACAACAACAUCCCAAGAGAAAGACCGAGAAAACAGACAAACAAACAAUGUACAAACAAACAUAUUUACAAGAAAAGGAUACCAAAAACCAAGGCAGCAGAACAAACUCUUCACUUUGCAUAGGUUUUCCUUGUUAUAAUUAACUCAUGUAAUAAUAAAUGCUAUCGGUUUUGAGUAAACGAUCGGAUCAUCAAAACUAUGGAAUCUCCUACACUGAAUGCGAGAGAAGGCACCCGCCGAUACCCGUAAUGGAUGCAAUCACUCGACGCAAGCUGUAGGAAUAGCUUCUGGAUCUUUGGAAAUUUCUCUGUUGUUCAGCUCUGAAAUUAUACUAAAACAAUUACUCGCCUCAGGUUCGGUGAAUAUUGUCGAAUAAUCCCCUCUACUUCUUCUCGGGGGAUUAUUAGGCGAUAUUCACCUCGCCUUCGGCGAAUAAUAGUCCAUUUUACAGUUGUGUGCUUGGUUGCCAAGCCUUUGAAUGGGA
This 8310-nucleotide unclassified non-coding RNA is filed under the name Stylophora pistillata. Its description in RNAcentral is "uncharacterized LOC111340073, transcript variant X2". The record is from RNAcentral. Lineage: Eukaryota; Metazoa; Cnidaria; Anthozoa; Scleractinia; Pocilloporidae.